AAGCAUUAUGGUGAUCAAUCUUUGAAAGAAACAUCGAACUCCGUUAAAGCAGAAACUGUUCCCACCAAUCCUGAAGAUUAUGGUGAUCUCCCUUCUGUAUCACCUCAAGAGGAUAGUGACUGGACCAGGGCAGAAGAUCUGCUUAAGACUGGACAUGCUCUAGCACGAGAGGUUUUGUCGUAUCUUUUGGUUCU
This is a long non-coding RNA of Hibiscus syriacus, 194 nucleotides long. RefSeq lists it as uncharacterized. The transcript is spliced from 3 exons. The record is from RefSeq and is a predicted model, not a curated record. NCBI's taxonomy places the organism in Eukaryota, Viridiplantae, Streptophyta, Magnoliopsida, Malvales, Malvaceae.